AUUGAACGCUGGCGGCAUGCCUUACACAUGCAAGUCGAACGGCAGCAUGGAGAGCUUGCUCUCUGAUGGCGAGUGGCGAACGGGUGAGUAAUGCAUCGGAACGUACCGUGUAAUGGGGGAUAACGUAGCGAAAGUUACGCUAAUACCGCAUACGACCUGAGGGUGAAAGCAGGGGAUCGCAAGACCUUGCGUUAUACGAGCGGCCGAUGUCAGAUUAGCUAGUUGGUGAGGGAAAGGCUCACCAAGGCGACGAUCUGUAGCGGGUCUGAGAGGAUGAUCCGCCACACUGGGACUGAGACACGGCCCAGACUCCUACGGGAGGCAGCAGUGGGGAAUUUUGGACAAUGGGGGCAACCCUGAUCCAGCCAUGCCGCGUGAGUGAAGAAGGCCUUCGGGUUGUAAAGCUCUUUCGGCCGGGAAGAAAUCGCACAGGCUAAUACUCUGUGUGGAUGAUGGUACCGGCAUAAGAAGCACCGGCUAACUACGUGCCAGCCGCCGCUGUAA
Molecule: ribosomal RNA, 504 nt
Filed under: uncultured bacterium
Lineage: Bacteria
Description: partial 16S ribosomal RNA
Rfam family: Bacterial small subunit ribosomal RNA
Source: RNAcentral